GCCGUCACAGAACAAGAGACCAAAGAUGCCCUCGAGGGUUAGACGUCAAACCUCCCUCGACCCGCAGACCCCUCAGCCCACACCUUACCUCCUGGUGUGAAGACAUUGUCCUGAGAUGUGUGGUUGGACUGUCAGAAGCUUAGGACAAGGUCAACAGAGCCAGGGCCAGACUACAGCGGGGUCCCACAGCAAGGGUCCAGGCCAGACUUUAGGAAUCACUGUAACAGAAGACAUGUGCCCUGCCUGUCAUGUGAAUUGCCUCACUGAUUAGAAGGAGUCACAUGACAGGGUCACAUGACUGAGGCUAGUUUUUAUCCCUGUGGUGCCUGGGAGGCGUCCAAAGCCAGAGUGGCCUCACCACAUUUCCCGCAGCUGUCUGGGGAAUGGCCUGUGGAGCUGAAGGAUUACCCUGCCCUGCGGGAAGAUUAACCUUCUUGGCUCAUCUUCCCAUUAACUCUGACCAGCCUUCAUGUCCCUGCUGAAGAAAAAUAUUCCCACAGCAUGAUGCAACCACCGCCAGGUUUCAUAAUAAAGAUGUU
Girardinichthys multiradiatus is the source of this 539-nucleotide long non-coding RNA. RefSeq lists it as uncharacterized. The transcript has 4 exons. The record is from RefSeq and is a predicted model, not a curated record. Lineage: Eukaryota; Metazoa; Chordata; Actinopteri; Cyprinodontiformes; Goodeidae.